This 1826-nucleotide ribosomal RNA is filed under the name human gut metagenome. RNAcentral describes it as "bacterial LSU rRNA". It matches the Rfam family "Bacterial large subunit ribosomal RNA", at positions 593 to 2429 of the family's 2925-position model. The record is from RNAcentral.
GUGAUGGCGUGCCUUUUGUAGAAUGAACCGGCGAGUUACGAUGGACUGCGAGGUUAAGCGGGAAAACGCGGAGCCGAAGCGAAAGCGAGUCUUAACAGGGCCGAAGUAGGACAUCGUAGACCCGAAACCGGGUGAUCUAGCCAUGAGCAGGUUGAAGUUGAGGUGAAACUCAAUGGAGGACCGAACCGACCACCGUUGAAAAGUUGGCGGAUGACUUGUGGCUAGGGGAGAAAUUCCAAUCGAACCCGGAGAUAGCUGGUUCUCCCCGAAAUAGCUUUAGGGCUAGCGUCGGAAAGAACUUGUGCGGAGGUAGAGCACUGAAUGUGUGAUGGCCCCAUCCCGGGGUACUGAAUACAAUCAAACUCCGAAUGCCGCAUGAGAUGUCCGGCAGUCAGACCGUGAGUGAUAAGGUCCAUGGUCAAGAGGGAAACAGCCCAGACCGCCAGCUAAGGUCCCGAAAUACAGGCUAAGUGGAAAAGGAUGUGGGGAUGCCCAGACAACUAGGAGGUUGGCUCAGAAGCAGCCAUCCUUCAAAGAGUGCGUAACAGCUCACUAGUCGAGUGACCCUGCGCCGAAAAUGUACCGGGGCUAAGCCUGAUACCGAAGCUGCGGAUUUGAAUAUGAUUCAAGUGGUAGGGGAGCGUUGCAUACAGGUGGAAGCCGUACCGUGAGGAACGGUGGACCGUAUGGAAGUGAGAAUGCCGGUGUGAGUAGCGAGAUGUAGGUGAGAAUCCUACACACCGAAAGCCCAAGGAUUCCAGGGGAAGGUUCGUCCGCCCUGGGUAAGUCGGGACCUAACGCGAGGCCGAGAGGCGUAGUGGAUGGCAAGCAGGCGGAAAUUCCUGCACCCGUACAUGGAGCGAAGGAGUGACGGAGAAGGCUAGUAUGACCCUCUUAACGGAUUGAGGGCGAAGCGGGGUACCUGAUGGUUAGGCAAAUCCGGCCAUCGAAAGGGGAAGACGUGACAGGUAAGCGAACGUUUCGGCAAGUAGCGAAGCAUAUGAGGCCAGCUUCCAAGAAAAGCUUCUAAGCGUAUGCAUGUGCGGCCCGUACCAAAACCGACACAGGUGGGCAGGGAGAGUAUCCCGAGGUGAGCGAGAGAACUGUUGCCAAGGAACUCGGCAAAAUGGCUCCGUACGUUCGCAAGAAGGAGCGCUCAUGAAGAGUGAGCCGCAGUGAAGAGGCCCAAGCGACUGUUUAACUAAAACACAGCUCUCUGCGAAGUCGCAAGACGAAGUAUAGGGGGUGACACCUGCCCGGUGCCGGAAGGUUAAGAGGAUCUGUCAAUCGCAAGAUGAAGCAGUGAGUUGAAGCCCCGGUGAACGGCGGCCGUAACUAUAACGGUCCUAAGGUAGCGAAAUUCCUUGUCAGGUAAGUUCUGACCCGCACGAAAGGUGUAACGAUUUGGGCGCUGUCUCGGCAGCAGACUCGGUGAAAUCUUAGUACCUGUGAAAAUGCAGGUUACCCGCAACUAGACGGAAAGACCCCAUGGAGCUUUACUGUAGCUUGGUAUUGAACUUUGGUCAUGCAUGUACAGGAUAGGUGGGAGACGAAGAGACGCGUACGCCAGUAUGCGAGGAGUCGCCGUUGGGAUACCACUCUUGUGUGAUCGGAGUUCUAACCUGGUCCCCUGAAUCGGGGAUGGGGAGAGUGCCAGGUGGGCAGUUUGACUGGGGCGGUCGCCUCCCAAAGAGUAACGGAGGCGCCCAAAGGUACGCUCAGAUUGGAUGGAAACCAAUCGGCGAGUGCAAAUGCAGAAGCGUGCUUGACUGUGAGAGCAACAACUCGAACAGGGACGAAAGUCGGGAUUAGUGAUCCGGCGGUGC